CCAAAGUGCAWAUUUGGAGAAGCACCCAUAAGAGGGUGCCGGGGCUU
Molecule: transfer RNA, 47 nt
Filed under: Paroedura sanctijohannis
Lineage: Eukaryota; Metazoa; Chordata; Lepidosauria; Squamata; Gekkonidae
Description: partial tRNA-Cys
Source: RNAcentral